Molecule: small RNA, 408 nt
Filed under: Pan troglodytes (chimpanzee)
Lineage: Eukaryota; Metazoa; Chordata; Mammalia; Primates; Hominidae
Description: processed transcript
Source: RNAcentral
AUGAACUGCUGGAUUCAGUUUGCAAGUACUUUGUUAAGGAUUUUUGCAUAAAUGUUUGUCAAGGAUAUUGACCUAAAGUUUUGUUGUUGCCAGGUUUUGGUAUCAGGAUGAUGCUGGCCUCAUAGAAUGAGCUGGGGAGGGGCCUUUCCUCCUCAAUUUUUUGGAAUAAUUUCAGUAGGAAUGGGACCAGCUCUUCUUUGUUCAUCUGAUAGAAUUCAGCUGUGGAUCCUUCUUGUCCUGCGCUUUAUUUUGUUGAGAGUUGCCCAAGGAAGUCAACAGGAGAGCCAGGUCAGGAAACAGCAACCAGAGGGAGAUGAUCACCUGAACCACUGCUCCAAACCAUGGGCAGUAAAUGCUGUAAAGGUGGUCCAGAUGAAGAUGCAGUAGAAAGACAGAGACGGCAGAAGG